GACAGAAAGUGGAACAAAAGUGGGCCUAAGAGCGGUGAGCAUGGGAACAUGAGGGAAGGCUAGAGACCUCAGUUCCUCUCUAACAUUGGAAGAUGCUUUGUUUUGAGUUUUCCUAUUGCCUCCAUGCCUAUUUUUCUUUGGUGCUCCUUCCUCUUCCUUUUGGAU
Molecule: non-coding RNA, 165 nt
Organism: Triticum urartu
Lineage: Eukaryota; Viridiplantae; Streptophyta; Magnoliopsida; Poales; Poaceae
Source: Rfam